UGUGGAGGCACGGCGCUUGUUGUGGGCAGGGUGGAUGCCUCCAUCCACACUGUUAAGAUGUAGAUGCCAGCCUUUGUUGCUUUUUACUCUGGAAUUCUGGGUGGGCUGGCCCAAGGAUCAUUCUUCCUCAAACACAAACUUUUUUCCUCACAGUGGCGAUACUGUAUACGCUUGGAAAACUUGGACAGUGACGUGGUACAGCUCCGGGAGCGGCACUGGCGGAUAUUCAGUCUCUCAGGGACCUUGGAAACAGUUCGAGGACGAGGGGUGGUGGGCAGGGUGAGCAUCAUUGGGCCACUAUGGCCUAGUUGCUGGUCCUGUUAGCAGGCCUGGGAACCUCGUGUAUGUCUUAUUCCUCUCCAGUAUGGAUAGUGUGUGUUCCUGUGUGUAUGGGUAUUCGUGUGUGGUGGGGCAGAUGGUCUGUAAG
Molecule: long non-coding RNA, 427 nt
Filed under: Rattus norvegicus (Norway rat)
Lineage: Eukaryota; Metazoa; Chordata; Mammalia; Rodentia; Muridae
Description: long non-coding RNA NONRATT005745
Source: RNAcentral